Molecule: ribosomal RNA, 832 nt
Filed under: Triticum aestivum (bread wheat)
Lineage: Eukaryota; Viridiplantae; Streptophyta; Magnoliopsida; Poales; Poaceae
Description: partial small subunit ribosomal RNA
Source: RNAcentral
GUCUCAGAAGCUAUUGAGGGUCUGAGGGGUGGCGCCGUGGCGGCCAGGGGAGAGGAGAGAAACGGCGGGUUUGAGGCCGGUGCGGCGGGGUUGAGACCGGCGAGGGGAAGGGACGGGGCGUAGGGAGCGUAGGUAGGUCCGAGGUUAAGACUGUAGACUGUGGCUAAGUUGGUGCGAUCCUAUGUCGACGUGCCACUGCCGCCUCGUCCUUCGAUCGUCGCCGCUCGGUGGCUACCUGCGCGUCCUUUGAUCGUGUUGUCUCGCGUGUUCUAUGAGCGAGUUUGUGUGGUACAGCACCCGACCGUAUGGUACCGACCUCUGCUCUGCCUCGCGAGCUUCACAUGGGUGUAAUAUAUCAGAGAACCGUCUAAAUCUAAGGGGAUUUUUUUACUAUGACAACACAAGUACAACUUAUGAUAAAGUCCAAGCGCUCCGUUGUUGAUGAUCUUCUUUAAAACGUUAAAUCGUAAAAAUCGUGUAAGACCAACACUCAUUUACAUAAAAUCAAAUUCCUUAUACAUACGAACACCGGUCGACGUCAAAUUGUAAAACAGUUAAAAACGAUUCUAAAAGAGGACAUUAAUAGACUAAUGAUAAACUGGUUGUAGCAAACGUUUAUAAAUAAAAACUGCUAAAAGGAAAAAAAACAUCCAAACUGUUCUUAAGCCAUAUACAAGAUUUACAAGCCGAAUCUUCUUCGCAAAAUAGCCUACCCUUGGCAUACAAACUAACACGAUACACAUGGAUAGUUGAAAUACUGUAGCUAAACUAGUUACAGAGUCAUGUAAGAAAACAACAAGGAAUAGAAAGGAGCAAGGCAUCACAUCGUUCC